CCUACGGGUGGCAGCAGUCGAGAAUCAUUCACAAUGGGGGAAACCCUGAUGGUGCGACGCCGCGUGGGGGAAUGAAGGUCUUCGGAUUGUAAACCCCUGUCAUGUGGGAGCAAAUUAAAAAGAUAGUACCACAAGAGAAAGAGACGGCUAACUCUGUGCCAGCAGCCGCGGUAAUACAGAGGUCUCAAGCGUUGUUCGGAAUCACUGGGCGUAAAGCGUGCGUAGGCUGUUUCGUAAGUCGUGUGUGAAAGGCGAGGGCUCAACCCGCGGACGGCACAUGAUACUGCGAGACUAGAGUAAUGGAGGGGGAACCGGAAUUCUUGGUGUAGCAGUGAAAUGCGUAGAUAUCGAGAGGAACACUCGUGGCGAAGGCGGGUUUCUGGACAUUAACUGACGCUGAGGCACGAAGGCCAGGGGAGCGAAAGGGAUUAGAUACCCUUGUAGUC
RNAcentral lists this ribosomal RNA (446 nucleotides) under uncultured bacterium. Its description in RNAcentral is "partial 16S ribosomal RNA". It matches the Rfam family "Bacterial small subunit ribosomal RNA", at positions 338 to 795 of the family's 1533-position model. The record is from RNAcentral.